UACGGAGGGUGCAAGCGUUAUCCGGAUUUACUGGGGUUAAAGGGUGCGUAGGUGGGCAGGUAAGUCAGUGGUGAAAUCUCCGGGCUUAACCCGGAAACUGCCAUUGAUACUAUCAGUCUUGAAUACCGUGGAGGUAAGCGGAAUAUGUCAUGUAGCGGUGAAAUGCUUAGAUAUGACAUAGAACACCAAUUGCGAAGGCAGCUUACUACCCGAAUAUUGACACUGAGGCACGAAAGCGUGGGGAUCAAACAGG
RNAcentral lists this ribosomal RNA (253 nucleotides) under uncultured bacterium. RNAcentral describes it as "partial 16S ribosomal RNA". It matches the Rfam family "Bacterial small subunit ribosomal RNA", at positions 524 to 776 of the family's 1533-position model. The record is from RNAcentral.